Molecule: ribosomal RNA, 440 nt
Filed under: uncultured bacterium
Lineage: Bacteria
Description: partial 16S ribosomal RNA
Rfam family: Bacterial small subunit ribosomal RNA
Source: RNAcentral
CCUACGGGAGGCAGCAGUAGGGAAUAUUGCUCAAUGGGGGAAACCCUGAAGCAGCAACGCCGCGUGGAGGUUGAAGGUUUUCGGAUUGUAAACUCCUUUUGUUAGAGAAGAUAAUGACGGUAUCUAACGAAUAAGCACCGGCUAACUCCGUGCCAGCAGCCGCGGUAAUACGGAGGGUGCAAGCGUUACUCGGAAUCACUGGGCGUAAAGAGCGCGUAGGCGGGAUAGCAAGUCAGAUGUGAAAUCCUAGGGCUUAACCAUAGAACUGCAUUUGAAACUGUUAUUCUAGAGUAUGGGAGAGGUAGGUGGAAUUCUUGGUGUAGGGGUAAAAUCCGUAGAGAUCAAGAGGAAUACUCAUUGCGAAGGCGACCUGCUAGAACAUAACUGACGCUGAUGCGCGAAAGCGUGGGGAGCAAACAGGAUUAGAUACCCCAGUAGUC